AUGAGAACUAAAGUAGAGAAACAAACUUGGUUUGAUAGCAUUUAUAAGGUAAAAGAGAAGUGGGCUGCAUGUUAUAUGAAGGAUGCAUUCACCUUGGGGAUGCGAAGUACACAACUAAGUGAAAGUUUGAACAAUGACCUCAAGCACCAUUUGAAAUCAGAUCUUGAUGUGAUCCGUUUUUUCAAGCAUUUUGAAAGGGUUGUGCAAGGGAAACGAGACAUUGAGUUGAGUUCGGAGUACGAGUCAAGGGAGCUAAUACCUAGGGUCAAAAUGAGAACGACCAUGCUGGUCCAAGCAAGCCAAGUUUACACUCCGGUA
Molecule: ribosomal RNA, 318 nt
Filed under: Triticum aestivum (bread wheat)
Lineage: Eukaryota; Viridiplantae; Streptophyta; Magnoliopsida; Poales; Poaceae
Description: partial small subunit ribosomal RNA
Source: RNAcentral